Molecule: long non-coding RNA, 1790 nt
Organism: Artibeus jamaicensis (Jamaican fruit-eating bat)
Lineage: Eukaryota; Metazoa; Chordata; Mammalia; Chiroptera; Phyllostomidae
Exons: 3
Source: RefSeq, a predicted model, not a curated record
ACCUGCCAAAACGUUUCCUAAGGCCCUGACUGGCAGAAAAACCAGUGGUGGGGCAGUGCACAGGCGGAUCUGCCUGGUGGGAAGACAGGCUCAUCCCAGGAAAAUCAGCCCGGCUCAAACUCCGUUCGUAUUUCAUCAAUAAGAUACCCAAAUGCAAAUUCCACCAGCAAGAUCAACCAACACCUCGGGAUCACACCGCUGCUGAACAGAACUCACAAUUUGGCAAGCUUCGGCGUGAGAGCAAGCUUCCUUUUAUGUACAGCAAACUCCGACUACUUAGAAUGUUUGUUUGGGAGUUAAAGGGACGCCUGGUGUUUUUCUGUUUCAUAACAAUUACCACGUACAACAUGACCAGACAAAAACCAAACUGCGCUCCAAGUGAAUUCCAUCUUUCUGAUGAGUCCGCCUCGCCAUGGGAAUCAUGAUUAUCAAUGCCAGAUUUUUUUGUGUGUGAGUCGAUGUUAUUGUUUAUAUUUUAAAUUAAUGCAUAGAUUCCAGAUAUGGGUUCUGAAAAGAGGUGGUCCGGAGCGGUCCAAACCUUUGGGUGGUACUGUCCUCAUUCGUUACACAGGGUGUUCGAUUUCAACUAGGAUGAAGAUCAGACCUUCAUGGGGUGGCCACAAGGCACUGUUCUGAUGGCACUCGUGCGACACAUUCCCAGUAUGACGGCAAAAACCACUGGUUGGGAAUAAAGAGACAGCGAGCACAGCUGAGGUCCAAAGAGCUAAAUGACACACAAAUAGAGCAGUACAAAGCCAGCUCCUUUUCCAGCUCCAUGAAGGACAGCCAGACCUGCUCUGUGUUACAUGUUAUGGGCCACCCGUGAAACAACAUGGCACAGUGGACCGCUCCAUCCCGAUCAGUCCUUUGAAUAAACAGCUCAGACGCGGUGAUGCUGCGUGUUCAGAGCCCCGCCCACUUCUACCCCAAUGGGACUGCGCCCUGGGGCAGGACAGCCACCUCUAUCUCUGCUUCUUUGGGUCUGACUCUCUGUGCUUCUGACUGGAAAGCUGUGUUUGACCCAUCGGACCAUUCAGUUCUUCAAACCCCGAUGUGGCCCAGAGUGAGUCCUGAAGGUGGAAAACGUGGACCCAGACACGGCCACUCACUAGCCAGGGUAGGUGAUGUGGUUUGAAGAGACUGGACUUCCUUUUCUCGCUCUGGAACUCACUUGCUGAGUAAACUUGGGCUACUCACUUCUUACCCUUGAAUUUCCCCUGUGUAAAAAAAAAACGUGGGAAAACACAGUCUAGCUACCUCUCGGGGGUGGUAUGAAGAUACCCAACUGAUGUUCUAGACUGCAUGGCCCUAGGACAGCACCGUGUGCCCUGUGCGACCAGCCAUUAAAACAGUCUGUGGCUGAUUACGGGCACACACACACCCACAUUUCUUACCAAAAAAAUAUUAAAAACCACAAACAAACAAGGGAUUAAUUCUGUUCUUAUUUGAGGGGAAUUUCACAAAAUGUCAUAUUAAAACAUUAACAUUCUGAUACCUAAAUUCCACUGAAUGUAGUGGAGGAAUGUCGUAAAAUUUAGUAAUGGUAAUACCCCAAUCUGCCUGUUCUUUAAGGAGAGAAAGAACUUAACCAGAUGGUUAAUUAAUCAAAUAUAUUCGCUGGAACAAAUCUAGUCACUAAUCUCAUUCUGUUUUAAAUUUAGUUUGAGAAUACUGUAAAAAUGCCAUCAUUGUGCAUCUGUGGAAUGCUUCAGUUUGUCAGUUAUUACAGUUCCUCAGGUACAAAAUGACCCGCUAGAAUACACACACACACACACACACACACACACACA